Molecule: non-coding RNA, 478 nt
Filed under: Hungatella hathewayi WAL-18680
Lineage: Bacteria; Bacillati; Bacillota; Clostridia; Lachnospirales; Lachnospiraceae
Description: Clostridium hathewayi WAL-18680 Bacterial large subunit ribosomal RNA
Rfam family: Bacterial large subunit ribosomal RNA
Source: Rfam by way of RNAcentral
CGCUCAACGGAUAAAAGCUACCCUGGGGAUAACAGGCUUAUCACUCCCAAGAGUUCACAUCGACGGAGUGGUUUGGCACCUCGAUGUCGGCUCAUCGCAUCCUGGGGCUGAAGUAGGUCCCAAGGGUUGGGCUGUUCGCCCAUUAAAGCGGUACGCGAGCUGGGUUCAGAACGUCGUGAGACAGUUCGGUCCCUAUCCGGCGUGGGCGUAGGAUAUUUGAGAGGAGCUGUCCUUAGUACGAGAGGACCGGGAUGGACUGACCUCUGGUGUAUCUGUUAGACUAUCAAGUCUAUGGCAGAGUAGCCAAGUCGGGAAGGGAUAAACGCUGAAGGCAUCUAAGCGUGAAGCCCCCCUCAAGAUGAGAUAUCCCAUACGCAAGUAGUAAGACCCCUUGAAGACGACGAGGUAGAUAGGGCAGAGGUGGAAGCAUGGCAACAUGUGUAGCUGACUGUUACUAAUAGGUCGAGGGCUUAACCAA